GCUGCCUACCCUUCCCACCCUCGGUCCGCAGCCGCACCGGCGACUGUGGUGUCGUGUCCCUCUUCCCCAGGGUUCUGUGAAGCCCCGGAGGACGGGGAUCCGGGUGCGACUUCGUCAGCACUCUAUCCCCCAGGGGGCCCCGGGCUGGCAUACGGUGGACACUGAACUCAUGUGCAAUUAUCCAGAAAGGGAGGUGCUGUAGAGAUUCAUCCAGUCGGCCACCAAACACGUAUUGGCUACUUACUGUGUGCCGAGACCACAGCGGUCCUCAGUUCAGUUCCCUGGACCUUAAGUGACGGAAACAAAGGUCAACAGGUGGCCGUCCCACGAAGGGCCAGGCAAGGGACCAUGGGCCCGGGAUCCGAAGAGGCCCCCGGCGGAUGAAGCAACCCUUCCGAGAAGCCACAUA
Molecule: long non-coding RNA, 409 nt
Filed under: Felis catus (domestic cat)
Lineage: Eukaryota; Metazoa; Chordata; Mammalia; Carnivora; Felidae
Description: lncRNA (ENSFCAG00000053413.1)
Source: RNAcentral